AAUCUGUUUCCUCAGCUUUAUCCCGGUGAGAAGAACCGGCAACAGCAACGGACUCUGAGGCUUUUCCAUCUUACUUCCUUAUCCAUUUCCUGCUCACAGGGUGGAUUAAAAACUUGGUUACAAAACGCGGACUGGUGGCUCCUGGAAGAGCCCUGAGGGAAUUUCUGACGGGCUGGAGGAAGGAAAUCCUCUGUCUCAGUUUUGCUGGUUUUUUCCUGGAGUGUUUUCCAGAGGACGCCAGCCUGUGGACAUGGCCCCUGAGGGCUUUGGUGGGGGUGGCCUUCCUCCCUUUCCUCACCCCUGGCCUGGCCUGGGCUGACAGCCUGCUUCAGGGCCAAGGAACCGGCAAUGCCAGGCACUCCCUGAGCCCUGCUGGCCAAAAGGUGCCCAUUCCUCACAUUUCUAUCUUCCAUUCUGCUGCUGCUAAGUCGCAUCAGUUGUGUCUGACUCUGUGCAACCCCAUAGAUGGCAGCCCACCAGGCUCUGCUGUCCCUGGGAUUCUCCAGACUGAGUUUCACAAGCGGAGACAAUACCUUGUUAACCACCUAUACUAGUGAUGGGAAUGAGGCUGAGCUACAGGCAAGCAGCUGCUAGCCCCUGGAUAUUUCUAGCACCUUCUUGCAGACCCCAUUGGAAGCCUUUGAGGAACUGUGUGAAUAUAACCUGUGCUGCUGGCUUCUGGACCCUGAGCAGAGAUUGGAUCCUGCAGUGCUGGAGCCUCUCAUUAAAUAAAUAACCCA
This is a long non-coding RNA of Bubalus bubalis (water buffalo), 740 nucleotides long. RefSeq lists it as uncharacterized. The record is from RefSeq and is a predicted model, not a curated record. The transcript has 4 exons. Lineage: Eukaryota; Metazoa; Chordata; Mammalia; Artiodactyla; Bovidae.